CUACGGGUCGCUCCAGUGGGGAAUAUUGCACAAUGGAGGAAACUCUGAUGCAGCAACGCCGCGUGGAGGAUGACACUUUUCGGAGCGUAAACUCCUUUUAUAUAGGAAGAAGAUGACGGUACUAUAUGAAUAAGCGCCGGCUAACUCCGUGCCAGCAGCCGCGGUAAUACGGAGGGCGCAAGCGUUACUCGGAAUCACUGGGCGUAAAGAGCGUGUAGGCGGAUUAAAAAGUCAGAAGUGAAAUCCUAUAGCUUAACUAUAGAACUGCUUCUGAAACUCUUAAUCUAGAAUAUGGGAGAGGUAGAUGGAAUUUCUGGUGUAGGGGUAAAAUCCGUAGAGAUCAGAAGGAAUACCGAUUGCGAAGGCGAUCUACUAGAACAUUAUUGACGCUGAGACGCGAAAGCGUGGGGAGCAAACAGGAUUAGAUACCCCAGUAGUC
RNAcentral lists this ribosomal RNA (439 nucleotides) under uncultured bacterium. Its description in RNAcentral is "partial 16S ribosomal RNA". It matches the Rfam family "Bacterial small subunit ribosomal RNA", at positions 339 to 795 of the family's 1533-position model. The record is from RNAcentral.